GUGCUCACUUGGACAGCAUAUAUACUAAAACUGGAACAAAACAGAGAAGAUUAGCAUGGUCCAUGGGCAUGGAUGACAUGAAAUUUAUGAAGUGUUCCAUAUUUUU
This is a small nuclear RNA of Nycticebus coucang (slow loris), 106 nucleotides long. The record is from RefSeq and is a predicted model, not a curated record. NCBI's taxonomy places the organism in Eukaryota, Metazoa, Chordata, Mammalia, Primates, Lorisidae.